RNAcentral lists this ribosomal RNA (1724 nucleotides) under Salmonella enterica subsp. enterica serovar Senftenberg str. 423984-2. RNAcentral describes it as "bacterial LSU rRNA". It matches the Rfam family "Bacterial large subunit ribosomal RNA", at positions 1224 to 2925 of the family's 2925-position model. Lineage: Bacteria; Pseudomonadati; Pseudomonadota; Gammaproteobacteria; Enterobacterales; Enterobacteriaceae. The record is from RNAcentral.
UUGGGUAGGGGAGCGUUCUGUAAGCCUGUGAAGGUGGCCUGUGAGGGUUGCUGGAGGUAUCAGAAGUGCGAAUGCUGACAUAAGUAACGAUAAAGCGGGUGAAAAGCCCGCUCGCCGGAAGACCAAGGGUUCCUGUCCAACGUUAAUCGGGGCAGGGUGAGUCGACCCCUAAGGCGAGGCCGAAAGGCGUAGUCGAUGGGAAACGGGUUAAUAUUCCCGUACUUGGUGUUACUGCGAAGGGGGGACGGAGAAGGCUAUGUUGGCCGGGCGACGGUUGUCCCGGUUUAAGCGUGUAGGCUGGUUUUCCAGGCAAAUCCGGAAAAUCAAGGCUGAGGCGUGAUGACGAGGCACUACGGUGCUGAAGCAACAAAUGCCCUGCUUCCAGGAAAAGCCUCUAAGCAUCAGGUAACAUCAAAUCGUACCCCAAACCGACACAGGUGGUCAGGUAGAGAAUACCAAGGCGCUUGAGAGAACUCGGGUGAAGGAACUAGGCAAAAUGGUGCCGUAACUUCGGGAGAAGGCACGCUGACACGUAGGUGAAGUGAUUUACUCAUGGAGCUGAAGUCAGUCGAAGAUACCAGCUGGCUGCAACUGUUUAUUAAAAACACAGCACUGUGCAAACACGAAAGUGGACGUAUACGGUGUGACGCCUGCCCGGUGCCGGAAGGUUAAUUGAUGGGGUCAGCGCAAGCGAAGCUCCUGAUCGAAGCCCCGGUAAACGGCGGCCGUAACUAUAACGGUCCUAAGGUAGCGAAAUUCCUUGUCGGGUAAGUUCCGACCUGCACGAAUGGCGUAAUGAUGGCCAGGCUGUCUCCACCCGAGACUCAGUGAAAUUGAACUCGCUGUGAAGAUGCAGUGUACCCGCGGCAAGACGGAAAGACCCCGUGAACCUUUACUAUAGCUUGACACUGAACAUUGAGCCUUGAUGUGUAGGAUAGGUGGGAGGCUUUGAAGUGUGGACGCCAGUCUGCAUGGAGCCGACCUUGAAAUACCACCCUUUAAUGUUUGAUGUUCUAACGUGGACCCGUAAUCCGGGUUGCGGACAGUGUCUGGUGGGUAGUUUGACUGGGGCGGUCUCCUCCUAAAGAGUAACGGAGGAGCACGAAGGUUGGCUAAUCCUGGUCGGACAUCAGGAGGUUAGUGCAAUGGCAUAAGCCAGCUUGACUGCGAGCGUGACGGCGCGAGCAGGUGCGAAAGCAGGUCAUAGUGAUCCGGUGGUUCUGAAUGGAAGGGCCAUCGCUCAACGGAUAAAAGGUACUCCGGGGAUAACAGGCUGAUACCGCCCAAGAGUUCAUAUCGACGGCGGUGUUUGGCACCUCGAUGUCGGCUCAUCACAUCCUGGGGCUGAAGUAGGUCCCAAGGGUAUGGCUGUUCGCCAUUUAAAGUGGUACGCGAGCUGGGUUUAGAACGUCGUGAGACAGUUCGGUCCCUAUCUGCCGUGGGCGCUGGAGAACUGAGGGGGGCUGCUCCUAGUACGAGAGGACCGGAGUGGACGCAUCACUGGUGUUCGGGUUGUCAUGCCAAUGGCACUGCCCGGUAGCUAAAUGCGGAAGAGAUAAGUGCUGAAAGCAUCUAAGCACGAAACUUGCCCCGAGAUGAGUUCUCCCUGAGACUUAGAGUCUCCUGAAGGAACGUUGAAGACGACGACGUUGAUAGGCCGGGUGUGUAAGCGCAGCGAUGCGUUGAGCUAACCGGUACUAAUGAACCGUGAGGCUUAACCUUAC